GAAAGCGUUAUCUCAGCACCAGCUCUGACGAUGAACAGUUCCCACCAACAAAGACCCCACAGGAGGAAGAUGAGGAGAUCUCACAAAUAUGGCAAAGCUUGUUGGACUCUAUCUCGAUACCAAACUCUAUAAUGCAGGAGCCAGCAGCAGAGGCUGUAACAGCUGAAGAACCUGAGAAGUGCAUCAAUACUAGCAUCCCGCCGUCACCUAUUGAGCUUUGGAAUAUGGCUUCUGCAAGUAACAUUCACAUUCAGGCUCCUGAAGCAUUGGCAAACAAUCAGCCGGCGCAUCUCACCCUGAAAAAUCUUCUUGGACUGUCGAUUGAUGAAACACAGCACAUUUUACCAAGAAAGCGUCGAGGAGCUAUGCGUGGAAUUGUCAGAGCAACCAUUUAUGGCAUCUUGAAACACUGCCUAAGCCAGUAUCUGUAUGAGAGCUGUAUUGGAUGUACAAUACAGGCCCCUGGACAGAGCUCUCACGAAUGUACAGUAUGGACAGAAAAUGACAUUUCCACAAAACUACGCAUUCUUUGUGCAAAACUCUGGUUUCAGCCUGUGUUGCAUGUUGUUAUCCUCAUUGGUUAUUCUCUAAAUUGUCUUGCUUUGACCUCAGAGAAUGUGGACCAGGUCUUAAUUCUGACUACAGAGAUUAGCAGAGCUAU
Elgaria multicarinata webbii is the source of this 661-nucleotide long non-coding RNA. RefSeq lists it as uncharacterized. The record is from RefSeq and is a predicted model, not a curated record. The transcript has 3 exons. Lineage: Eukaryota; Metazoa; Chordata; Lepidosauria; Squamata; Anguidae.